AACGAACGCUGGCGGCAUGCCUAACACAUGCAAGUCGAACGAGACCUUCGGGUCUAGUGGCGCACGGGUGCGUAACGCGUGGGAACCUGCCCUUAGGUUCGGAAUAACUCCCCGAAAGGGGUGCUAAUACCGGAUAAUGUCUUCGGACCAAAGAUUUAUCGCCUUUGGAUGGGCCCGCGUUGGAUUAGCUAGUUGGUAGGGUAAAAGCCUACCAAGGCGACGAUCCAUAGCUGGUCUGAGAGGAUGAUCAGCCACACUGGGACUGAGACACGGCCCAGACUCCUACGGGAGGGAGCAGUGGGGAAUAUUGGACAAUGGGCGAAAGCCUGAUCAAGCAAUGCCGCGUGAGUGAUGAAGGCCUUAGGGUUGCAAAGCUCUUUUACCCGGGAUGAUAAUGACAGUACCGGGAGAAUAAGCUCCGGCUAACUCCGUG
Molecule: ribosomal RNA, 433 nt
Filed under: uncultured bacterium
Lineage: Bacteria
Description: partial 16S ribosomal RNA
Rfam family: Bacterial small subunit ribosomal RNA
Source: RNAcentral